AGUUUUGCACAGUGGCAGUGUCAUAGCCAAUGAGGUUUAUUUGAGGUGCGAUUAUUGCUAAUUGGAAAAAAAGAAGACCAAGCUGCCCUUCCAGGUGUCCAGUACAUGCAGCCUGGGAGAGGCAGGAGUUAUACAGGUUUA
Small nuclear RNA from Phyllostomus discolor (pale spear-nosed bat), 141 nucleotides. RefSeq annotates it as U4 spliceosomal RNA. The transcript has a single exon. The record is from RefSeq and is a predicted model, not a curated record. Lineage: Eukaryota; Metazoa; Chordata; Mammalia; Chiroptera; Phyllostomidae.